GACGAACGCUGGCGGCGUGCUUAACACAUGCAAGUCGAACGCUGAAGCUCAGCUUUUGUUGGGUGGAUGAGUGGCGAACGGGUGAGUAACACGUGAGUAACCUGCCCCCUUCUUUGGGAUAACGCCCGGAAACGGGUGCUAAUACUGGAUAUUCACUGGUCUUCGCAUGGGGGUUGGUGGAAAGGGUUUUUCUGGUGGGGGAUGGGCUCGCGGCCUAUCAGCUUGUUGGUGGGGUGAUGGCCCACCAAGGCUUUGACGGGUAGCCGGCCUGAGAGGGUGACCGGUCACAUUGGGACUGAGAUACGGCCCAGACUCCUACGGGAGGCAGCAGUGGGGAAUAUGGCACAAUGGGCGCAAGCCUGAUGCAGCGACGCCGCGUGAGGGAUGGAGGCCUUCGGGUUGUGAACCUCUUUCGCUCAUGGUCAAGCCGCAACAAUGGUUGUGGUGAGGGUAGUGGGUAAAGAAGCGCCGGCUAACUACGUG
Molecule: ribosomal RNA, 483 nt
Filed under: uncultured bacterium
Lineage: Bacteria
Description: partial 16S ribosomal RNA
Rfam family: Bacterial small subunit ribosomal RNA
Source: RNAcentral